GACGAACCGUACGAACGUUAUUCGGAAUCACUGGGCUUAAAGGGUGCGUAGGCUGCGCAGCAAGUUGGGUGUGAAAUCCCUCGGCUUAACCGAGGAACUGCGCCCAAAACUGCUGUGCUCGAGGGAGAUAGAGGUGAGCGGAACUUAGGGUGGAGCGGUGAAAUGCGUUGGUAUCCUAAGGAACACCGGUGGCGAAAGCGGCUCACUGGAUCUCUUCUGACGCUGAGGCACGAAAGCUAGGGUAGCGAACGGG
RNAcentral lists this ribosomal RNA (253 nucleotides) under uncultured bacterium. RNAcentral's name for it is "partial 16S ribosomal RNA". It matches the Rfam family "Bacterial small subunit ribosomal RNA", at positions 524 to 776 of the family's 1533-position model. The record is from RNAcentral.